AGCGAACGCUGGCGGCAGGCUUAACACAUGCAAGUCGAGCGGGCACUUUCGGGUGUCAGCGGCGGACGGGUGAGUAACGCGUGGGAACGUGCCCUAUGGUUCGGAAUCACUCAGGGAAACUUGAGCUAAUACCGGAUAUGCCCUUUUGGGGAAUGGCUUGCUGCCGGAGGAUCGGCCCGCGUCUGAUUAGCUAGUUGGUGAGGUAACGGCUCACCAAGGCGACGAUCAGUAGCUGGUCUGAGAGGAUGACCAGCCACACUGGGACUGAGACACGGCCCAGACUCCUACGGGAGGCAGCAGUGGGGAAUAUUGGACAAUGGGCGCAGGCCUGAUCCAGCCAUGCCGCGUGAGUGAUGAAGGCCUUAGGGUUGUAAAGCUCUUUUAUCCGGGACGAUAAUGACGGUACCGGAGGAAUAAGCCCCGGCUAACUUCGUG
Molecule: ribosomal RNA, 435 nt
Filed under: uncultured bacterium
Lineage: Bacteria
Description: partial 16S ribosomal RNA
Rfam family: Bacterial small subunit ribosomal RNA
Source: RNAcentral